AAACAUGUACAAGGAAAAAGAUAUUUACUAAAAGCAAAAUAAGGAAAAACAAACACACACAUCUGGCGUGUGUGUGUGUGUCGCCCCAAGCAGGAGAAAAAGAGGAGAAACCCUAAAAUCCUUGAAGUUGCAAAAUUGAGAAGGGAAAUUGAAGCUAAUCAUAUGCAUGAAUCUGAAUGUGCAACCAUUUAAGCCUACUAAUCAAGUGGCAUAGGGAUCAUGUGGAAAUGGACUCAAGAACGGAAGGUUAACGGGUCAAGCGGAGGCGAGGAAGCAAGCAUGAACACUAACGCUCGAGGUAAGUGAUUCUAAUUUCACUUUUUAGCUUGUUUAAAUAAGGUAUUGUUCUAGAUAAUUGAGUAUGUUACGAAGUCAAACAUGGAUUUGGUUGAAUGAAAACGAUGGUUCUCGCUAAGUAGAUCGAAUGUGUCAAAUGAAGUUUUGUUGUCAUAA
RNAcentral lists this long non-coding RNA (453 nucleotides) under Helianthus annuus (common sunflower). Its description in RNAcentral is "sRNA HanXRQr2_Chr14g0661841". Lineage: Eukaryota; Viridiplantae; Streptophyta; Magnoliopsida; Asterales; Asteraceae. The record is from RNAcentral.